UACAGAGGUGGCAAGCGUUGUUCGGAAUUACUGGGCGUAAAGGGCGCGUAGGCGGUCUUUUAAGUCUUGUGUGAAAUCCCUCGGCUCAACUGAGGAACUGCACGGGAUACUGGAAGACUUGAGUUCGGGAGAGGGAAGCGGAAUUCCGGGUGUAGCGGUGAAAUGCGUAGAUAUCCGGAGGAACACCGGUGGCGAAGGCGGCUUCCUGGACCGGUACUGACGCUGAGGUGCGAAAGCGUGGGGAGCAAACAGG
Molecule: ribosomal RNA, 253 nt
Filed under: uncultured bacterium
Lineage: Bacteria
Description: partial 16S ribosomal RNA
Rfam family: Bacterial small subunit ribosomal RNA
Source: RNAcentral